RNAcentral lists this long non-coding RNA (222 nucleotides) under Elaeis guineensis (African oil palm). RNAcentral describes it as "long non-coding RNA (EGUI_LNC039566)". The record is from RNAcentral. Lineage: Eukaryota; Viridiplantae; Streptophyta; Magnoliopsida; Arecales; Arecaceae.
CUUCCACUCACGUGUUUAGUAUGUGCUCUGUGUUCUGUUAGGCCUUGAUUACUUCGGGCCUUGCCGAGGAGCCCAAAAGGUUGGGCUAUUACAUUUUAAAUCUCAUGAGGCUUGAAACCUAACCUUUUGCAUGUGCUGUGUCAACCUAAACUCAACUCGAUUAAGAAAUUGCAUAACCCAAACUUGAACCUUACUAAACCAAAUGAUGAAUUUUCAACACAA